Molecule: ribosomal RNA, 751 nt
Filed under: Streptomyces coelicolor
Lineage: Bacteria; Bacillati; Actinomycetota; Actinomycetes; Kitasatosporales; Streptomycetaceae
Description: bacterial SSU rRNA
Rfam family: Bacterial small subunit ribosomal RNA
Source: RNAcentral
GUGGCGAACGGGUGAGUAACACGUGGGCAAUCUGCCCUGCACUCUGGGACAAGCCCUGGAAACGGGGUCUAAUACCGGAUAUGACCACUAGGGGCAUCCCUUGGUGGUGUAAAGCUCCGGCGGUGCAGGAUGAGCCCGCGGCCUAUCACCUUGUUGGUGAGGUAACGGCUCACCAAGGCAACAACGGGUAGCCGGCCUGAAAGGGCGACCGGCCACACUGGGACUGAAACACGGCCCAAACUCCUACGGGAGGCAGCAGUGGGGAAUAUUGCACAAUGGGCGAAAGCCUGAUGCACCGACCCCGCGUGAGGGAUGACGGCCUUCGGGUUGUAAACCUCUUUCACCAGGGAAAAAGCGAGAGUGACGGUACCUGCAAAAAAAGCGCCGGCUAACUACUUGCCACCAGCCGCGGUAAUACGUAGGGCGCAAGCGUUGUCCGGAAUUAUUGGGCGUAAAGAGCUCGUAGGCGGCUUGUCACGUCGGUUGUGAAAGCCCGGGGCUUAACCCCGGGUCUGCAGUCAAUACGGGCAGGCUAAAGUUCGGUAGGGGAGAUCGGAAUUCCUGGUGUACCGGUGAAAUGCGCAAAUAUCAGGAGGAACACCGGUGGCGAAGGCGGAUCUCUGGGCCGAUACUGACGCUGAGGAGCGAAAGCGUGGGGAGCGAACAGGAUUAGAUACCCUGGUAGUCCACGCCGUAAACGGUGGGCACUAGGUGUGGGCAACAUUCCACGUUGUCCGUGCCGCAGCUAACG